Molecule: transfer RNA, 72 nt
Filed under: Camelus bactrianus (Bactrian camel)
Lineage: Eukaryota; Metazoa; Chordata; Mammalia; Artiodactyla; Camelidae
Also listed under: 2 other names
Rfam family: tRNA
About the family: Transfer RNA (tRNA) molecules are approximately 80 nucleotides in length. Their secondary structure includes four short double-helical elements and three loops (D, anti-codon, and T loops).
Source: Rfam by way of RNAcentral
GUGGGUAUAGUUCAGUGGCAGAGCGUGUGCUUAGCGUGCACAAGGUCCUGGGUUCAACCCUUAGUAACUCCA